Molecule: long non-coding RNA, 1791 nt
Organism: Homarus americanus (American lobster)
Lineage: Eukaryota; Metazoa; Arthropoda; Malacostraca; Decapoda; Nephropidae
Exons: 4
Source: RefSeq, a predicted model, not a curated record
GCAGCAGCAACGCCCAGUUAAGUGUUGGGGCAAUGGGCAGCGGUGUGCCUUGCCCCGGGAUGUACCCGACGUUUCACCGCCUUAUUAAUGCUUUAUGGUGAUUUUACGGCCGUCAUGUUGAAGCGCUUCUCGGGUUGGUAACUUUAUAUACCAGUAUUAUACAGGUGAUUAAUGCCGCCAUAAGGGGAGAGAAAUAUCCCGUAACACCUGAGACGAAUAUUGAAAAUUUGUUAUGAAUUAUGAGUCUGAUGUUGACCACUGGUGUAUUAAAUAUAACUCACUUAAAUAAGAGAUACAAAGAUUAGUUGUGAAAUUAGACAGACGGACGCUAUUGGGAGAUAUUAAUUGGGGAGUUUAAGUGUUGUGAAAUUAGAUAGAAGGAUGUUGGUGAGAUGUAUUAAUUAAAGAGUAUAAGUGUUGAGGGAGGGAGGCCAGAGCGACCAGCACCCGGCCAGACUCACACGCACACGCGAGAUGUGCAUUCAACACUACCGCCCGGGGACACACACUGCCACUCCCUCGUACCUCUUUUCUCGCCACAUACCUCAGCCACACUGCAGCUGACUGUCACUAUCUGCACCGCACAGCUUCUUAAUAUCCCUUCGCUUCCUCUAUCUCUCAAAGAAAUCGGAUGAGAGAGACAGGAAGGUAAAAUAAGGAAGGAAAUGAUUGUGUUAUCGGGUGGAUGCGAGGAGAGUAGCAGCAUGUGGUGCGGGGCUACAGUGAGUGGCCCAGCACACCAGUCGGGGGAUUGGCCGCGGCCACACCACCACUAUACUUCCCUUACGGCACGCCACUCACCACCUCCACCUUCAUUACUGUCCCCACCACCGCUGCCUCCAAUAACUCCUGCACAUUUGCCGGUAUAGAGCAACAACAUGAAAAAGGGUAAAAAAAAAGUAAAAAAAAAAAAAAUGAAUUCGUCUUCUCGUUGGAACUCGCCUCAGAAGGUGGUAUUAGCACCUGCGAAUCACCAAGAAAAAUACCUGGACAUCUUCCUCUGAGAAGCUUAUGACAGGGAGCGCCACAGUCAUGACAGCAGGGAAUUAAAGUGUUAUCAAGAGUACUGAAGUUUGUAUCGCCUAUGGUAUACAGUACAGUCAACUACUGAAGUCUUACUGUCUGAACCACGAGCCCCGAGAGAUUCAGACUCGUAAACCCGAACAAGUGAGGUGAGCGAUGAUGACUAUAGGUCCUGUCCUUAACACCUGAGACUAACGGAAGAACAGAAUGCCUGGCGAUAACAGUAACAGCACUCGGUUAACGGAGAGGACAACAGGAAGACAGCAGUAACAGCAAAAUUAUCACUAUGGUCGACGAAGAUGCAGCAAUAACCGCAUUAAAGUCAGUGUGAUUGAUAAAAACACAACAGAAAUAACAGUAAAGCCGAUGUGAUUGACAGAGAGAGCUAAAACAACAAUAAUGUCACUAUGAACUAAGAAAGACGCGGCAAUAACAACAACUAGAACAGAAUGCGUAAGUUAUUGAAACAGCAAAAGACGCACAGCAGUGAUUACCAGACGCUACGGAAUCUAUCAAUAAAAGCAAUAACAUCACCGUGAUUGUCCAUCUGGAGGUACAAGUAGUGUCAGUGUGAUUGUCUUCUUCUCCAGACACACCUUAAUAAGUAAAGCACACACACACACAUACACACACAGCUUAUGUAGUGAGGGAGAGGCUUAGCAACUCAGGUACAACGGCCAUCCAAACAGUGUGAAGGACUUUGUUGGCGCCAAUAUCAAGUCACAAGAAUGUUUACAAGACCAGCUCCCACAGUACCAGCUCUAGAGU